GAUGAACGCUGGCGGCGUGCCUAAUACAUGCAAGUCGAGCGAACAGACGAGGAGCUUGCUCCUCUGAUGUUAGCGGCGGACGGGUGAGUAACACGUGGAUAACCUACCUAUAAGACUGGGAUAACUUCGGGAAACCGGAGCUAAUACCGGAUAACAUGUUGAACCGCAUGGUUCAACAGUGAAAGACGGUCUUGCUGUCACUUAUAGAUGGAUCCGCGCCGCAUUAGCUAGUUGGUAAGGUAACGGCUUACCAAGGCAACGAUGCGUAGCCGACCUGAGAGGGUGAUCGGCCACACUGGAACGGGAACACGGUCCAGACUCCUACGGGAGGCAGAAGUAGGGAAUCUUCCGCAAUGGGCGAAAGCCUGACGGAGCAACGCCGCGUGAGUGAAGAAGGUCUUCGGAUCGUAAAACUCUGUUAUUAGGGAAGAACAAAUGUGUAAGUAACUAUGCACGUCUUGACGGUACCUAAUCAGAAAGCCACGGCUAACUACGUG
RNAcentral lists this ribosomal RNA (497 nucleotides) under uncultured bacterium. RNAcentral describes it as "partial 16S ribosomal RNA". It matches the Rfam family "Bacterial small subunit ribosomal RNA", at positions 28 to 507 of the family's 1533-position model. The record is from RNAcentral.